GUAGUAUUCCCUCCGUCCCAAAAUUCUUGUCUUACAUUUGUUUAGAUACGGAUGUAUCUAACACUAAAAUGUAACUAGAUACAUCCGUAUUUAGACAAAUUUAAGACAAGAAUUUUGGGACGGAGGGAGUACAAA
Triticum aestivum (bread wheat) is the source of this 135-nucleotide non-coding RNA. The record is from Rfam. NCBI's taxonomy places the organism in Eukaryota, Viridiplantae, Streptophyta, Magnoliopsida, Poales, Poaceae.